RNAcentral lists this unclassified non-coding RNA (197 nucleotides) under plant metagenome. RNAcentral describes it as "partial contains small subunit ribosomal RNA, internal transcribed spacer 1, and 5.8S ribosomal RNA". The record is from RNAcentral.
UCUCCGUUGGUGAACCAGCGGAGGGAUCAUUACCGAGUGCAAACUCAUAACCCUUUGUGAACUUAUAUCUGUUGCUUCGGCGGCUCGCUCUCGGGCGAGCCCGCCGGUAAUAUCAGUAUCUCUGUUUGAACCCGACGAUACUUCUGAGUGUUCUUAGCGAACAGUUAAAACUUUUAACAACGGAUCUCUUGGCUCUA